AUCACUUUUUAGCCUUUCAGCUAAGAUCAAGUGUAGUAUCUAUUCUUAUAGGACAAUACAUUAAAUGGAUUUUUGGAGCAGGGAGAUGGAAUAGGAUCUUGCUCUGUCUACACCACACAUCAACCUGGUAUUGCAGCACCUCCACAAACAGUGCAUCCCCU
Molecule: small nuclear RNA, 161 nt
Organism: Ictidomys tridecemlineatus (thirteen-lined ground squirrel)
Lineage: Eukaryota; Metazoa; Chordata; Mammalia; Rodentia; Sciuridae
Gene: U2
Rfam family: U2 spliceosomal RNA
About the family: U2 is a small nuclear RNA (snRNA) component of the spliceosome (involved in pre-mRNA splicing). Complementary binding between U2 snRNA (in an area lying towards the 5' end but 3' to hairpin I) and the branchpoint sequence (BPS) of the intron results the bulging out of an unpaired adenosine, on the BPS, which initiates a nucleophilic attack at the intronic 5' splice site, thus starting the first of two transesterification reactions that mediate splicing.
Source: Ensembl